This 253-nucleotide ribosomal RNA is filed under the name uncultured bacterium. RNAcentral's name for it is "partial 16S ribosomal RNA". It matches the Rfam family "Bacterial small subunit ribosomal RNA", at positions 524 to 776 of the family's 1533-position model. The record is from RNAcentral.
UACGUAGGCACCAAGCGUUGUCCGGAUUUAUUGGGCGUAAAGAGCUCGUAGGCGGCUUGUCGCGUCGUGUGUGAAAUCUCAGGGCUCAACUCUGACAUUGCAUACGAUACGGGCAGGCUUGAGUUCGGUAGGGGAGACUGGAAUUCCUGGUGUAGCGGUGAAAUGCGCAGAUAUCAGGAGGAACACCUGUGGUGUAGACGGCUCUCUGGACCGCAACUGACGCUGAGACACGAAAGCGUGGGUAGCAAACAGG